AACGAAGCGUCGUCUUCUGCUAGUUUGUUUACCAAAAGUGGUCUCGCCAUCUGCUAUUCACAUUGAAAACUAUCACAAAAAUAUUUCCCGCCAAGGUUGAUUUUUAAAAUUCAGCAGUUCGUUUUCGUAGUUCGUCUUUUCUCUUUUGGCAACAGCUAGGUCCCCCGUCAGCUGGAAUCUCACUAUUUUAGUAUUGUGCAUUUGUCUUUUUCUUUUUCAAUUUUUAUGGAAAUGGUCAUAGUCAACUUAUAAUAAAAAUGACUUGAUUAACUCCAAGCUAAAAGAACAUUUUUACUAGGAAGAUCGAACCUCCAUUGUAUAUUUGAUGGAUUUGAUGUGCUAUGCACAAUAUGCCUUUCUUAAAGCUUUUAUGUUCGUUAUUGAGCACAUUUUUCCUGAAUACUGAAUUGUUCAACGUUAUUGAGAAUUGAGAUCCCUAAAUGUUUAACUGUGUAAACAUUAUGCUUUAAUGAGUAAUUCGUAUUUCGAUUCGAAAUUGUUCUAUUUUGUAGUCAAUUUGAGUUUUGGUUUUAUUACAUGUUGAUGUUAUACUUUUUCGUUUUAUUACAUGUGGUCUUUAUCUUUGCCAUAAUCACUACCGCAGGCAGACGGGCUCUAACUGGGUUUGGUAGGAAGCCAAGAAAUUGUUCGAUAUGUAAGAACGGGAAACCGAGGACCUGAAGGAUUCAGUCCACGAUUUUCCCUCUACCUCUCUGCUAUGCUGACUCAUGGCGCCAGUAUUGCUCAUCACAAACAGUGACAUCAUGAAAUGAAUAUGGAUUGAUCAUGUGUUCGAAACUUGGAUAAGAUUGACAGAGGAAUAUUUUCAAAAAAGCCGACUGUCCUUCAAACGGUUCGAAAUUUGUAUAAAACCCAUCCCCAGCAACGACAACCUGCAGAAGGAAAGGCACGUAAAACUUGUCAUG
Molecule: long non-coding RNA, 926 nt
Organism: Daphnia pulex (common water flea)
Lineage: Eukaryota; Metazoa; Arthropoda; Branchiopoda; Diplostraca; Daphniidae
Exons: 3
Source: RefSeq, a predicted model, not a curated record